RNAcentral lists this transfer RNA (68 nucleotides) under Callochiton steinenii. Its description in RNAcentral is "tRNA-Lys". The record is from RNAcentral. Lineage: Eukaryota; Metazoa; Mollusca; Polyplacophora; Chitonida; Callochitonidae.
UUUUAAGUAACCUAGUUAAAGGUGCUAAGCUUUUAACUUAGUUAUGGUAUAAGUUUUACCCUUGGAAU